Molecule: transfer RNA, 75 nt
Filed under: Oligoflexia bacterium
Lineage: Bacteria; Pseudomonadati; Bdellovibrionota; Oligoflexia
Description: tRNA-Pro
Rfam family: tRNA
About the family: Transfer RNA (tRNA) molecules are approximately 80 nucleotides in length. Their secondary structure includes four short double-helical elements and three loops (D, anti-codon, and T loops). Further hydrogen bonds mediate the characteristic L-shaped molecular structure. tRNAs have two regions of fundamental functional importance: the anti-codon, which is responsible for specific mRNA codon recognition, and the 3' end, to which the tRNAs corresponding amino acid is attached (by aminoacyl-tRNA synthetases). tRNAs cope with the degeneracy of the genetic code in two manners: having more than one tRNA (with a specific anti-codon) for a particular amino acid; and 'wobble' base-pairing, i.e. permitting non-standard base-pairing at the 3rd anti-codon position.
Source: RNAcentral
CGGGCAGUAGCGCAGGGGUAGCGCAUUCGUCUGGGGGGCGAAAGGUCGGUGGUUCAAGUCCACUCUGUCCGACCA